This 524-nucleotide long non-coding RNA is filed under the name Helianthus annuus (common sunflower). RNAcentral describes it as "hypothetical non coding rna". Lineage: Eukaryota; Viridiplantae; Streptophyta; Magnoliopsida; Asterales; Asteraceae. The record is from RNAcentral.
UUGUUUUCUAAACUUGGGGAAAAUACAUGUACUAUGGUAUGAUCAUUACAAAAACUAAGGAAUGAUACUAUAGAUCAUGUGAUGUAUAGGGUGCCAUAAGCACCAUUAAUCAGUUACAUACCAAGACCGCGGAACAAAAGGUUAGAUCUAAUGGGUUUCAGGCAACCACACUCUUGGCCACUCUUUUACCAAGCAGUGCUUUUGUGUCUCUAGUCGUGAAUCGACAAGUAAAAAUGCCUAUGGUUUGGAUGCUUCCUAUGUCGUUACACAUUACAAUUACAUACUGAAAGUCCCGUUUGCGUUUGAUACCUUUGGUGGUCUCGCUCCUGACGCUGUACGACUCUUGAAUCUGGUUCAAAAAGUCGUUAAUAGCAAUUCUUCGUCGCUAAAGGUUUCAAACUUUGUAUUUAGUAGAAUUGGUUUUUCUAUUCAAAAGGGGGUGCCAGCGCAACUUGCUGCCCGACUACCUGCCAUUGCUUUGUAAAAAAAUAAAAAAAAAAUAAAAAAAUAAAAUAAAAGACAUU